RNAcentral lists this ribosomal RNA (465 nucleotides) under Vreelandella stevensii. RNAcentral's name for it is "partial 16S ribosomal RNA". It matches the Rfam family "Bacterial small subunit ribosomal RNA", at positions 338 to 795 of the family's 1533-position model. Lineage: Bacteria; Pseudomonadati; Pseudomonadota; Gammaproteobacteria; Oceanospirillales; Halomonadaceae. The record is from RNAcentral.
CCUACGGGUGGCAGCAGUGGGGAAUAUUGGACAAUGGGGGCAACCCUGAUCCAGCCAUGCCGCGUGUGUGAAGAAGGCCCUCGGGUUGUAAAGCACUUUCAGUGAGGAAGAACGCCUGGUGGUUAAUACCCAUCAGGAAAGACAUCACUCACAGAAGAAGCACCGGCUAACUCCGUGCCAGCAGCCGCGGUAAUACGGAGGGUGCGAGCGUUAAUCGGAAUUACUGGGCGUAAAGCGCGCGUAGGUGGCUUGAUAAGCCGGUUGUGAAAGCCCCGGGCUCAACCUGGGAACGGCAUCCGGAACUGUCAAGCUAGAGUGCAGGAGAGGAAGGUAGAAUUCCCGGUGUAGCGGUGAAAUGCGUAGAGAUCGGGAGGAAUACCAGUGGCGAAGGCGGCCUUCUGGACUGACACUGACACUGAGGUGCGAAAGCGUGGGAAGCAAACAGGAUUAGAUACCCGAGUAGUC